CAGGAGGGACCACCCUCCAAGGCUCAAUACGACCUAGUGACCGACAGCGUAUAGUCCCGUGAGGGAAAGGUGGAAAGAACCACGGGAGGGGAGUGAAAUAGAACCUGAAACCCUGCACUUACAAGCUGUGGAAGCACAUUUCUUGUGUGACCACGUACUUUUUGUAGAACGGGCCAACGAGUUACGUUAAGUAGCAAGGUUAAGCACUUAAGGUGCGGAGCCGUAGCGAAAGCGAGUUUUAACUGAGCGUUCAGUUACUUGACGUAGACCCGAAACCGGGCGACCUACCCAUGAGCAGGAUGAAGCGAAAGUAAAAUUUCGUGGAGGUCCGAACCCACGAGCGUUGAAAAGCUCGGGGAUGACUUGUGGGUAGCGGUGAAAUUCC
This 385-nucleotide ribosomal RNA is filed under the name Clostridioides difficile. RNAcentral describes it as "bacterial LSU rRNA". It matches the Rfam family "Bacterial large subunit ribosomal RNA", at positions 444 to 830 of the family's 2925-position model. Lineage: Bacteria; Bacillati; Bacillota; Clostridia; Peptostreptococcales; Peptostreptococcaceae. The record is from RNAcentral.